This is a long non-coding RNA of Loxodonta africana (African savanna elephant), 5997 nucleotides long. RefSeq lists it as uncharacterized. The record is from RefSeq and is a predicted model, not a curated record. The transcript is spliced from 3 exons. NCBI's taxonomy places the organism in Eukaryota, Metazoa, Chordata, Mammalia, Proboscidea, Elephantidae.
UUUGCUGAUUCAAUUUUUUAUAGGUGUACAACUUAUUGUCAGCAAUUGCAGUAACUGGCUGUGCAGCCCUACCCUUUAUCAAUGUGAUUUUUCUAACACCAUUAAUCCCCACCCCUUUUGUUCUGUUUGGGGUAAGGUCUGUAUAUCCCUGUGCUAUUAGACAGCCAUUUGAUGGGAACCUCAGUUUAGAUAUAGUCAUUGAAGGGAUUUAGGGAUUUUUUUUUUUUUUAAGCAGGAGCUCCUUCUGUUCUCACUCUGGAGCCACAUGUUUCUUAGAAAUGGGUUGAGUAUAUCAAGGAUGACCUGAAUUUUCAGUGGCCACUUCAGGCAACUGGGUUGCCAUUUGCUUUAAUUUUUGUUGUGCUGUCUGAAAUUGUUAAUUGUCAUAAAAAGGAAAUCAUAGGGUAGAAAAUAGGCAUGAAGGCCAUAUAAGCCUGGUUGUUACAGGUGGCCUCACAGACCACUUAGUUUGUGGUUCUCCUUUCUGUCCCAUUGUUUGUUGUUAAAGCUUGGCUUUAAUUUUGUGGAAUUAAAUUAAAAAUACAUGUUUUACUUUUAUUUCAGAGGGCUGUGAUCAUCAAGUUUGUGUGUCAACUUGGCUGAGCCAUGAUCGUCAGUGCUUUGGCAGUUACGAUGUAGUUUGGCAGUAGUAUAAUAAUGUAAACACUACCAUGCUGUGAUCUGAUAUAAAGUGAUCACCUCCACGAUGGGAUCUGCUGUUGUAACCAAACGCCACUCAGGUUUUUGGCCUAUCUUAUUAGCAAAUUGAAAUAAGACUGACACUGAUCGCAACAGAAACAGAAAGUGGCAAGUUUAUUGUCUGCGCAUACAAGGAGUGUUUGGGGUCUAGUGACCAUAAGGCCACGUGCUCGCUGACUAAGGGGACUGGGGAGCUUUUUGCUUCCAGUGGCGUUGGGGGUUGGGUUUUGUACCCGGAAUUUUCUGCCCUUAGCCCUCCCAUUUGGGGGUCCGGGAGGGUCAGUUGAAGGAUGUGAUUUCUUCAAUCUGCGAAUGCUUCAGGGUAUAGCUGGGGCUAGUUCAGUGGAUGGAGCCACUAUCUGCUGCGACUUCCUGAAAAAUGUUGCUCAAAACAAGCUUGUGGUUAGCGAGACAGAGAGGGGGGAAGGGGUGUUGAUUGGAGUUUUCAAUACGGCGGAGCAGCCUGUUUUCCUGUGAGUAGCCAAUCAGUUGAAUGUGAGUUUCCUUGGGGCUGUGAUCUGCGUCCAAUAUAUGUGGACUUCCUGGCAAAGUUUGCUGACUUUUUGUUCACUCUGGAUCCUAUACCUGGCUCCUGUUAAUCUGACCUCUAGUUCUUGGGACUUGAGGUAGCAGCUUACCUGCCGUCUUGCCUGCCCAUCUUGAGAUUCGCCUGUCUCUGCAGUCUGUGAGCCAGAGGACUGCCAUCUGACCUGAUGAUCUUGAAACCCCCAAAUGACAUUCCUUUCUUUGUCUUGCUAAUCACAAGCUUGUUUUGAGCAACAUUUUUCAGGAAGCUGCAGCAGCACUAAACCGGCCCAAACUAGACCUUGGAGCAUGCGCAGAUCGAGGAGAUCGCAUCCUUCACCUGACCCUGGACCUGAUGUCACCAGAAAGGAAGGUAUUUCCCAGCCCAUGGUUUCAUCCGAGCCCUUUUGGGAAGCAAGAGGUCCCCCACACGGAUGUCCAACAGAGGAUGAUUCAGCAUCCAGACCUCCAAAUGUGGACAUGGGAGGGCUAAGGGUGGAAAGUUACGGGUACCAAACACAGCCCCCAGACACCAUUGGAAAUAAAAGCUCCCCAGCCUCCUCAGAUGAGGAGCACAUGAUCUUACGGUUGCUAGAUACUGGUUGCUCCUUGUCUGUGCAGACAAUAAACUGGCCACUUUCUGUUUCCCUUGCAAUUAGUGUCCAUUUUAUUUUGAUCCUCUAAUAGAACAGGACAAGAGCCCAAGCAGUGUUUGGUUACAAUCUUGGGUUCUCCAGCCCCUGCGGCUACGGGAGUCAGUUGAAAUCUCCAGCCUGAUCCAUGGACUUGAGACUUUCCAGCCUUUACAACCAUGUAGCCACUUCCUUGACACAAAUCUCCCCCUUUCUCUCUGCUUUACUGGUUUUGCUUCUCUAGAGAACUCAGCCUAAGACAAGGGCUUUUGUUAUCCAUGAAUUUAAAAAUUCCUGACCCCAAAUUAAUCCACCAGCAGUUUUUUUUUUUCUCUCAGCCAAAGUAGCUAAUCAACCUUUCUUUCUGCUCCAAAGAGUAGACCAUAACAAAACCAUUAACGGGUGAUUAAAUGAGAAGGACUCAGACUUCUUUAAUUUGAAUUUCUGCAGGUGGGUAGAGGGACAAAUCCGUCCAUGAAGUUAACCUUUUUAAUGUUAACUCAGUAGCCGUUAAGCAGUUCUUCACCACUAUAUUCUUUAAGCAAAACUUAUUUAAGUUUCUGUGAAUUCUCUAUUCUCUGAAAGCAACUUUCUCUUGCAUGAGGAAAUGUUCUUCCUAUUUGCAACUUUUUUAUUAAACCAAAUAUUGUGUUAUUCCCAUAUGAUUAUAUUUUAACAAUCUAGAGAUAAGGAUCUGUCUGUUUUUUCCACCCACCGUUAGGUAGUGUGGUUGAGGCUGUUUUGCCAACUUUUCUUGUGAUAAUUUUAAAUCUCAGUUCUUUUCUGUUUCAAGAAAAAUUGCUACUUUUAAAAAAAAAUUUUAUUGUACCUUAAGUGACAGUUUACAAAUCAAGUCAGUCUCUCAUACAAAAAUUUAUAUACACCUUGCUAUAAACCCUGGUGGCGUAGUGUUUAAGCGCUAUGGCUGCUAACCAAAAGGUCGGCAGUUCAAAUCCACCAGGCACUCCUUGGAAACUAUAUGGGGCAGUUCUACUCUGUCCUAUAGGGUUGCUAUAGGGUCGCCAUGAGUGGGAAUUGACUCGAUGGCAGUGGGUUUGGUUGGUUUUGGUAUAUACUCCUAGUUCCUCUCCCCAUAAUAAGACAGCACACUCCUUCCUGCCACUGUCUAUUUUCAUAUCUUUUAGGCCAGCUUCUGACCCCCUCUACCCUCUCAUCUCCCCUCCAGACAGGAGCUGCCUACAUAGUCUUAUGUGUCUACUUGAUCCAAGCUCACUCUUCACCAGUAUCAUUUUCUAUCCCAAAGUCCAGUCUAAUCCCUGUCUGAAGAGUUGGCUUCGGAAAUGGUUCCUGCAUUGGGCUAACAGACCAUGACCUCCGGGGUCCUUCUAGUCUCAGUUAGACUGUUAAGUCUGGUCUUUUUACAAGAAUUUGAAGUCUGCAUCUGAAAAAUUGCUACUUUUUCCUAUCUUAUGAUUUGGGCCUUUUGUAGCUACUUUGAGAAACUCUUUGUUAUAAAAUGGUUCAUUUAAAAUGUUCACUGAGAAAGAAUGGAUUGUUUAUCUGGAUUGGUUUAACAAGAACUCAAAAAAAAAAAAGGACAAAAGUUAUUCUAAAUUGUCUUUCUAAAAGAUUCUAUAAAGCAUGUGGAAGAUAGGGUUAUGAAAACGUAGUAUUUUUCUACCUCUGGAUGGUAUUAUCGAAUUAAACUAUAAUAUUCCUUCAGAAACUUAUUCCGAUUGGUUUAGAGAUAGAUAAGCACUUAUAUAAAUGGUGGCAUAGUGGUUAAGUGCUACAGCUGCUAACCAAAAUGUCGGCAGUUUGAAUCCACCAGGCACUCCUUGGAAGCUCUAUGGGACAGUUCUACUCUGUCCUAUAGGGUUCCUGAGUCAGAAUCAACUCGACAAUAGGUUUGGUUUGGAAUAUUCCCAAAGGAGUCCUGAUGACACAGUGUUUAAGCACUUGGCUCCUAACCAGAAGGUUAGUGGUUCAAAACCAUCCACCACCUCCAUGGGAGAAAGACCUGGCUACCUGCUCCCGUAAAGAUUACAGCCUAGAAAACGUUAUGGGGCAGUUCUACCCUGUCACAUGGGAUUGCUAUGAGUCAAAAUCUACUUGAUAGCACCUAAGAAGAACAACAGUAUUCUUAGGAAUUAAUGAAAGUGAAUUUGUUCUGACAAAACCUUUUAUGUUUCUUGGUACGUUGACUUAAAGACAGUCUCCAAAAUUUUAAGUAACUUAGGCUAGAAUGAGUAUGUGGAAUAUGUGUUGUUAAGGAGAAAGGAGGUAAAUUUCUCCUAAGGUUAAAAGAAAAAAAAAAAAAUCCUUUGCCACCGAGUCAAUUCUGACUCAUAGGCACCCUAUGAGACAGAGUAGAACUCGCCCCUUGUAUUUCCAAGGAGGGGCUGGUGGAUUCAAAGUUCCGACCUCGUGGUUAGCAGCCAAUCUCUUAACCAUUGUGCCACCAGGGCCAGAAUGAGGAGAAAAAAAAAGCAUAAGACAAAAUCAAGAUAAAAAAAAAGUUAAAAAAUUAGGAGUUAGGUAGGCUGGCGAAGAUUUCAUGGGUUUAUCUACAAAACAACUUCAAUAUUUUCUGUUUAUCACGAUGUUGUUUAUUGGUCCAGUUGUGAGGAUUUUUGUUUGUUUGUUUUUAUUGUGCUUUAGGUAAAGAGCAAAUUCAUUUCCUAUUUUAUACCCAAAUUGUUUAUAGUUUAUACACAAAUUGUUCCACGACAGGUUGUACUCCCCACAGUGUGUCAGCACUCUCCCCAUUAGCACCCUAAGUUUCCCGUUUCCAUUCAUCUGGUUUUCCUGCCCCUUUCUGCCUUCUCAUGUUUCUUUUGAGGCAUAUGUUGUCCUUUUGGUUUCACGUAGGUGAUUGUUCUAAGGAGCACUUACCUCACAGGUAUUAUUGUUUAUUUUAUAGGCCUAUUAUUUGGCCGAAAAGUUAUCUCCAGGAACGGUUUCAGUUCCAAGUUAGGAAGGUAUCCAAGGACUGCAGUCUCAGGGGUUCCUCCAGUCUCUCUAGCAAAUCUAGUAUUUUUUAUGAAUUUGAAUUUUGUUCUAUAUUUUUUCCCCCACUCUAAGCAGGACCUUCUAUUGUGAUGCUGGUCAGAGCAGUUUGUAGUGGUAGCCAGGCACCAUCUGGGACUUCUGGGUCUCAGGCAGGUGGUGGCUGUGUUUCUUGUGGAACAUUAGUCCUUUGGACUAAUUGUUUCCUUGAGUCUUUGGUUCUCCUCACUCUCCUUUGCUCCGGAUGAAAAGAGACCAAUAGUUGUAUCUUAGGUGGCCACUCACAACCUUUUAAGAUGCUAUUCACCAAAAUGGAAUGUAGAAAGUUUUCUUUAUUUGCUAUGUUGUGCCAAUUGACCUAGAUAUCCCCCCGGGACCAUAAUCCUUAGCCUUCAAGCCCCGUAACUCUGUCUCACAAGGUGUUUGGUUAGAUCUAGGUUGUUUCCAUGACUGUGCCCCUGUGUGCUUUAUUGUAAAAUUUGUACAGGCAUACCCUGGAGAUAACUGCAGGUUCAGUUCCAGACCACUGCAAUAAAGUGAAGACUGCGAUAAAUGGAAAAUUAUGGCAAACUUGUGGUCUAUCAGAUUCUGUCAGACUUGAGGGUGAAGAUAUUGGGCAUGCAGCUGGAUAUCGAAUUUUGAAGUUCAGAGGAGAGUUCUGAGCUGGAAACAGCUCCUACCAUGGAAAUAAAGGAAGAGCAAAAUUUUAAGAAGCGAACAAAAUUGUGAAUUGAUUUUCCUCUUCUUGGUAUUCUGAAAGCAUUUAUUGUCUUUGUCUUUCAUUUUUGAAAACCAUUUUUAUUGCAAUAUAAUUUACACACAAUAAAAUUUACCCGUUUGAAAUAUACAAUUUGCUGAGUUUGAUGAAUGGCUAUAUUUCUGUAACCACGCCACAAUCAAGAUACAGAGCUUUUUCAUCACCCCGGAAGUUCCUUGGUGCCCCUUUGCAGUCAAGCCCCUCCCCCAGGCAACUCCUGAUAUCAUUUCUGUCCCUGUAGUUUUGUCUUUUCUAUAACUUCAUAUAAGUGGAAUCAUACAGUGUAUAGUCAUUUUGGUAUGCUUCAUUCAUCAAAAAUAAUACUGUCAAGAUUCAUCCAUAUUUCAGUAGUUUAUUCUUUUUAAUGCCAAAUAUUAGACUGCUCUGUGAAUGAAGCACGAUUUGUUGACUCAC